Long non-coding RNA from Spea bombifrons (plains spadefoot toad), 511 nucleotides. RefSeq lists it as uncharacterized. The transcript has 2 exons. NCBI's taxonomy places the organism in Eukaryota, Metazoa, Chordata, Amphibia, Anura, Pelobatidae. The record is from RefSeq and is a predicted model, not a curated record.
UGCAGGUAGUGAAGAGGGAGGAGAUAAGUCAGCUGGGGAACAGGCAUGUAGCUGGGUCACAGUUACACGUGGUGGUAGAGGGGGAGGAAAGAGGAAAGCAGGAUAUUACUGUGCUGCAGAGGGAUCUAGAUAGACUGGGGGACUGGGCACACAAAUGGCAGAUGAAAUUCAAUGUAGAUAAAUGUAAAGUUAUGCACUUCGGGGUAGCGAAUGCACAAGCAACCUACACCCUAAACGGUAGUGAAUUAAGGGUAAUGACAAAUGAGAAGGAUUUGGGAAUUGUUAUAGACAACAAACUAGGCAACAAUGUGCAGUGUCAGUCUGCGGUUGCUAAGGCCAGUAAGGUAUUGUCGGGUAUAAAAAGGGGCAUCAGGUCGCGGGAUAAAGAUAUAAUUUUGCCUCUGUAUAAAUCAAUGGUAAGGCCGCACCUUGAAUAUGCUGUGCAAUUUUGGGAACCUAUUCUAAAGAAGGAUAUCAUAGCACUAGAAAGGGUGCAGAGGCGGGCUACAAA